This 1118-nucleotide long non-coding RNA is filed under the name Phoenix dactylifera (date palm). RNAcentral's name for it is "long non-coding RNA (PDAC_LNC009570)". The record is from RNAcentral. Lineage: Eukaryota; Viridiplantae; Streptophyta; Magnoliopsida; Arecales; Arecaceae.
UCCUUCCUUGUCUAGCAAUUCAUUAUUUUUUUCUUUUGAGAAAUCAUUCCCAAAAAGACCCAAAGUAUUCUCUCCCUCCUUUAUCUUGUAGGAACUCAACCUGAGAAGCGCUUCGGCCUCGGAACCAAGCUUGUGAAGAUAUGUGGAACCCCCCCCACCGAAGUUGCCUCCCCUGUUUCAUGCCUGGGCCUUCUAUAGGCUGCCAUCCCUCUCUCUCCUCCUUCUUAUUUCACGUUGAGAUGAGGAUAGAUUGAAGCUGGAUGAAGCUGCGAGAUCUCUGCUGGCUCUAGUCUCGAUCGUUUGAACAACCUGUGAGGAUAAUCUCAUGUUUUAUUUUGUUGUAACAGGAGAUCCGGCAAAGAUGAGUUGGCUGGGAGCUUAUCCGUGGAGAUGGGAAUGAACUGGGAACGGAGACGUGAGAGGAUCUCGGCCUACUGGGUGGAGGCAGUCGGUUGGGAACGAUCUGGGAUAUAACUUGGCUUGAUUCAUGAUGAAGAUAAGAUGGCUUGAAGGGGAGGUAAGCUGGAACUUUGAACACGGAAGGAAUAAGGAUGCAGGGGAUUCGAGCUUAUCCGAGCUAGCGGAAGCUGAACGGAAGAAGGCUUGAAAACGCAAUCCAUGGAAUGGAGAGAGGAUGGGUUCUAGAUUCGGCUGGGAGCGCCUGGGAACAGGGGAUAAGCUUGGAUUCGGUUGACAGUUUAGAUGAAGCUUGCUUGGAAGCUUGGGAACGGCUGGCCAUGGGAUAAGGAUGCAUUUGUUGGCUUGACUCGAGAUGAAGGGAUGAUGGGAUGCACGUGGAGAUGGUUGAAUGCUGUCGCUGGGUUGAAUCACGGGGGGGUUUGGAUUCGGCUGGGAUUUGUUCUGAAACAGGGGAGGAGCACGUGAAGCUCGGAUGCUGGGAACAAAUGCGUAGGUUGGCUUGAUCCGAGGAUGCAGAUGAUGGCGUGGACGUUGAGAAGAUCCUGGUUCUGUUCCCGUGGCUGGGGUCAAUCCGAAUGCUGGGAAGGCGUUGGAUUUGGUUUGGAAGAAGAUAAGGAUGAUAGUUUCGAAGCAGGGGAUGGCUGGGAGUUAAUCCGGAAGGGGAGUUCUAAUCCGUGGAUGCUAGAGAUCAAGCUGGU